Molecule: long non-coding RNA, 2618 nt
Filed under: Nicotiana tabacum (common tobacco)
Lineage: Eukaryota; Viridiplantae; Streptophyta; Magnoliopsida; Solanales; Solanaceae
Description: long non-coding RNA (NTAB_LNC002494)
Source: RNAcentral
GUUUUUUUGUGUUGAAUUUUGGGCUAUUGCGGUAGAGUUUGAUUGGGUUUUUUGGAUUGCAUGGGGUUGCUGAUGUGUGUCUAUGGUGUUUUCAGUGUGUUUGUCAUUCCGGCUUGUUGGUUUAUCAAAAUUUGAUGAAAUUUUAGGUUGUUGAGGAACAGUGGUUGGGUUAGCUGCUUUAGGUACUGUUUUGUUGGUGAGGUUUUCAAUUGAUUCAUCGACAUCUGCUUCCUCUCUGUCGGUUGUGGUGUUGUUCGGAGUUUUUAGUCGUUAUAGGUAUGUUUGUAGGUGGUGGAGUGAUGCUAAUAGGAUUGUGUAGGUGUGCUGUGGAUUUCUCAUUGUUUGGAUUUGGUAGGGCAGGUGAGUGUGUAGGGGUAGGGACUUUGGAUAACAUUAAGUUAAGAGAGAGAAGAGAGCUUUUGGUAAAACGUUUGGGACUUGAUUAGACAACUUUUUACCUUCAACUCAUAAAAUACAUAUUUCUGCUUUUAUUAAAAAUCCUGGGCAAUAGUUCAUUAACUCCACAUCAAUUAACAAUGAAUUUUAACAAAAAAAAAACUACAACAACACAACUCAAAAUAUUCUGUACCAAACCAAAGUCCGAUUAUAGUUAGUGUACAACAUUCACUUUUAAACCCAUUUCUUGCAAAAUCCAUUAUCAAGGUCAUGCUUAUUUCAAAUCCCCAUUGAUUCCCACGACUCUGUAUUUUUUUAAUAGUCAAACCUCUCCCACAACUCACUUUCUAACUCAAACUAAUUUCUCAUUAUAACUCACAAACUUGAUGAAAGUCAAGUGAACCCGAGACAUAAGGCAUCAAUGAUAGAGAUAAAAAUAACAAAAUGAAUUAAAGAAAUAAUAGUGAAAGAUUGAUGUUGGACCUUCAAUUGAACAAAAAUGCCUACUAUUAAACAACGAAAACUCUAACAGAAAUCCCUCGCCACACACGUCUUGACAAAAAAAGAAUUUUUUACACUAUUUUAACAUAUUCAACUAUUAGAGGCUGAAUUAAAUUUAUGAAAUUAUUUUUUACAAACUAAAUGACAUACUUCCCACUCCAGAAUAGCCUAAAAUGAGUCAAAAAGAUUAUGACAAACUAAUCCUACAAGCAGUCAAAUAUUCUUCAGACAUGGAAUAAACACUUUAUUUAUUCACAUAAGGAUGUUUAGCAGAAAGUUGUAGAACUACUCAGACAUAAAGUAACGAUUCAUGCUUUUAUUUCUUUAACAAUAAACUACAUUCCGAGCUUGAAAAGUUACCUAGAUUGCAGAUUUGAACACAAGAAAACAGUAAUCACUUCGUCUGAACUCAACGGCUAUCAAAUACAGCUUAAAACCAGCAACAAUAGCAGUGAAAAGGACCAAUGAAACAACCUAGAAUAACCUCGAUACUCAACGACUUUUAAAGAAGAAGGAAACAACAAACUAACUUCAAACUUUUCGUAUUUUUUGGAAGGUUUUGCUCUUUUCUGGAAAAUAUUCAAAGGUGAAAAGCUGCUGAAAUUUUUAUCUUCAGCUCUCUUUUUUCUGAUCUCCUCCUAAGAAUGAAAAAAAUGACCCCUCUUAUAGUAGUAGAAGGCUUUAAUAUUAGGUUUAAGUCAACUAAAAUUUUGUCCAAAGAGAGGGGGAAAUAACAGUCCUUUCUACCAAAUCUGCAGCCAAACACAUGCUCCAAACACUAAAAGCAACCAACCAUGUACUAUACUAUCAUAAAUUCACCUUCUACCUUUCACAAAAUAAUAUCAAACUACUCUAGUUGAUUCAAAUCAGUAUAAAACAGAAAUUCCAGCAUUCAAUUAUCCAAAAAUAACCUAUAUCGAUGCAAUCAAUUAGAGACAACAAAUCGAUGAUUAAGUGAAAACACAUUUUAAAAGUGAAGUAACUAAUUGAGCAACGACGUAAUCUGGAUCAACUUAAACACAAUAGAAAAAUAAAAUAAAACUUAAUGCUAAACUAAAAUCUAAGAAAGUAGAAAAAUUAAGAAUAGGGUAGAAGAUUAGGAUUUUACCAUGAACUCGAGUGCCCGGGCAAUGGCAAAACAAUGAUGAUAGGUAGUGGUUCGAGCUCGGGCAUGCUUUUAUUAUUGAUAUACACCAAAACCAUAAAUUUUGGUGAAUAAAUUUUGGUGAAUCGGAAAAUGGUUUUGGUAUUACCAACAAUAGAAACCUAAACUAGGCCAGAGGCAAAAAUGAGAGGCAGUGACGUUUUGGGUGGUUCUUAGGGUGGCAUCGGCUAUGUAGAGCGAUCAAUGGUGGCCGCUAGUCGGCAGCUUCGCGGAAAUUCAAGUCAUCAGAGAUCGGGUUUAAACCAAUGCCAAAUGAUAGCCCUUAUCGAUCUCUUUACGUCUAUGUAUGUGUUGGGCGAAGAGGAUGACUCAAUCCUUAUGAAUUUGAGGAAAGAGGGAAGGCUAAUAUUUCAAUUUUUGUAAGAUUUAUCGAUUUUGAGAGGGACUUUGAGGAUUUGGGGUCAGGCUAUGAAAAGGAGGAAGUGAGGGGAAAAAGAUGGUGUAAGUUUGAUGGAGUUUGGUAGUGGCUUGCUGGUGACGCCGCUUCGGCGGAAGUGGUGGCGGCUAAGAGAGGGAGAAGAGAGAAGAGAGAGAUGAGGGGAGACUCUAGGGCUUG